Molecule: long non-coding RNA, 540 nt
Organism: Ficedula albicollis (Collared flycatcher)
Lineage: Eukaryota; Metazoa; Chordata; Aves; Passeriformes; Muscicapidae
Exons: 3
Source: RefSeq, a predicted model, not a curated record
UAGAAGUCUCCGUGAACCUAUUUGAAAUUGAGGUGGGAAAGGAGCUAAAGUAAAAUUCUUCUUACCAGGAUUUACAGAGCUGAGUAAAUGAGAAAAUGAGUUUUUGUAAACUCCAGCAGAAACCACGUGAGAUAAAUCAGUUCCGGUUCCACAGCAAAGAGGGGACAGCUGAGCCCACAGUAACAGGGUCUGGUGAUCUUCAGGUUCUUUGAGGAGCUGUCCUUGCUCCCCCCAGGACAGAGAGCUGGCUGGCCUGAGCAGCAGCCUGGGCUUUUUCUAAGCAGGCUGCAGCUUUCCUGGCUGCUCCAGGAUGGUGUUUGCACUGGGAUGGAUCAGCUGGAUUUGAAAAGAGCAUUUGCCGAUGGCCUUUGCCAUGGAAUUGUCUCACCACGCCCAGCAGCUCCUGGUCUGAGCCCUGUCCCUCCUAAGGGAGGUCCCUGUGUGCCCUGUGCUGUGCCAGACACAGCUUCAUCUGAGCUGUGGGAAACCCCUGGCCCCGGUGGGAGCACAAGGAGCACCUGCACCCAGACACCUGUACAG